AGGUGAGGUAGAGGUCGCGGUUUUGAAGAGUACUUUGUAUGAGAUGGAGAGUUUCGACAUACUUACGUCGUAGUAAACAUCAAGGACUACUUAGGAAAGGCACAACCGCCGAAGCAAUCUACAUACUCUCAUGUAGUGUUGCUGGGACUGUUAUCGAAUAGGGACAGGACUGUCACAAACCAUGUCGCAUAUGGUUUGUGUUGAGCUAUCUUCGCG
RNAcentral lists this non-coding RNA (216 nucleotides) under Thermoactinomyces sp. Its description in RNAcentral is "Lysine sequence". It matches the Rfam family "Lysine riboswitch aptamer". Rfam says of the family: Riboswitches are metabolite binding domains within certain messenger RNAs that serve as precision sensors for their corresponding targets. Allosteric rearrangement of mRNA structure is mediated by ligand binding, and this results in modulation of gene expression. This family includes riboswitches that sense lysine in a number of genes involved in lysine metabolism, including lysC. Lineage: Bacteria; Bacillati; Bacillota; Bacilli; Caryophanales; Thermoactinomycetaceae. The record is from RNAcentral.